This is a long non-coding RNA of Labeo rohita (rohu), 577 nucleotides long. RefSeq lists it as uncharacterized. The transcript is spliced from 3 exons. The record is from RefSeq and is a predicted model, not a curated record. NCBI's taxonomy places the organism in Eukaryota, Metazoa, Chordata, Actinopteri, Cypriniformes, Cyprinidae.
CGCCGCAGGCUCGCUGUGGUAAUGUCUGAGAGGCUAAUUCUUCCUUAUGAGGAAAAACAGGACCUUUCCUGAAGGAGACAGACACAUCCCUGCUUCGAUCACGGAGAUAGAGAUUCGGUGAAUCGUUGUGGAUGAACAUACUGGAAAAAGAAGACAGGAUUGUGUGGAAGAAAAGAAAGAGAGCGAGAAGCGAUGCACAAACACAGUGAGAGAGGAACGCAGUCUGAGGUAACGCAAGCUCAGCGCUGACUGAUCUGGCAGGAGCGAUCGGGACUUUCAAGUGGAUGCCGAAGUGUUUCAAUAUCCGUCAAUUGUCCCGAGCCUGCGUCACGACCCUUGCACGAGGAUGAAGAUGGGAUUGAGUUGGAGCUGGCUAUUAAACCGCAGGCUUGAUUAGAGGAUGAUGGGAUUGUCUUGCAGCAAAAUGGGGAAAUGCUCAAGAGCUCCACUUCCCACUCUCAGGCAAGAACAGCCAAAGUAAUGCCUCCCUUGAGAACUCCUGUGUAUGUGUGUGUGUUUGACCCCAGUGAGGACAAAAUAUGCAUGGGUCACUGAGUUCUGCUGGGCUGGAUCACAA